CGAUGACAUAGUGGUGGGUCCAAUAGAACAGGAGAGAGAUGACAUAGUGGUGGGUCCAAUAGAACAGGAGAGAGAUGACAUAGUGGUGGGUCCAAUAGAACAGGAGAGAGAUGACAUAGUGGUGGGUCCAAUAGAACAGGAGAGAGAUGACAUAGUGGUGGGUCUAAUAGAACAGGAGAGAGAUGACAUAGUGGUGGGUCUAAUAGAACGAUGACAUAGUGGUGGGUCCAAUAGAACAGGAGAGAGAUGACAUAGUGGUGGGUCCAAUAGAACAGGAGAGAGAUGACAUAGUGGUGGGUCCAAUAGAACAGGAGAGAGAUGACAUAGUGGUGGGUCCAAUAGAACAGGAGAGAGAUGACAUAGUGGUGGGUCCAAUAGAACAGGAGAGAGAUGACAUAGUGGUGGGUCUAAUAGAACAGGA
This is a long non-coding RNA of Oncorhynchus tshawytscha (Chinook salmon), 421 nucleotides long. The record is from Ensembl. Lineage: Eukaryota; Metazoa; Chordata; Actinopteri; Salmoniformes; Salmonidae.